Molecule: small nuclear RNA, 19 nt
Filed under: Arabidopsis thaliana (thale cress)
Lineage: Eukaryota; Viridiplantae; Streptophyta; Magnoliopsida; Brassicales; Brassicaceae
Description: snRNA_17797
Source: RNAcentral
UGUCGGCUCUUCCUAUCAU